RNAcentral lists this ribosomal RNA (57 nucleotides) under Phyllachora sphaerocaryi. Its description in RNAcentral is "partial 28S ribosomal RNA". The record is from RNAcentral. Lineage: Eukaryota; Fungi; Ascomycota; Sordariomycetes; Phyllachorales; Phyllachoraceae.
GGUAGACCUCGAAUUAGGUAAGAAUACCCGCUGAACUUAAGCAUAUCAAUAUAAGCG